This 589-nucleotide ribosomal RNA is filed under the name Hasemania sp. LBP5967-28455. RNAcentral's name for it is "partial 16S large subunit ribosomal RNA". It matches the Rfam family "Bacterial large subunit ribosomal RNA", at positions 1809 to 2609 of the family's 2925-position model. The record is from RNAcentral. Lineage: Eukaryota; Metazoa; Chordata; Actinopteri; Characiformes; Acestrorhamphidae.
AAAAACAUCGCCUCCUGCAAAAAAUCCACGUAUAAGAGGUCCUACCUGCCCAGUGACUUAGUUAAACGGCCGCGGUAUUUUGACCGUGCAAAGGUAGCGCAAUCACUUGUCUUUUAAAUAAAGACCUGUAUGAAUGGUGAAACGAGGGCUUAACUGUCUCCCCUUUCCAAUCAAUGAAAUUGAUCUACCCGUGCAGAAGCGGGUAUAAGUAUACAAGACGAGAAGACCCUAUGGAGCUUAAGACAUAAAGUCACCUGUGCUAAAACCCUAAAUUAAGAGAACAAAGCAAAACAGCCACUGACUGAAGUCUUCGGUUGGGGCGACCGCGGGGGAAAGAAAAUCCCCCACGUGGAAAGGGAAAUCCCCUAAACCACGAGGCACACCUCUAAGUCACAGAACUUCUGACCAAACGAUCCGGUAAAUAACCGAUCAACGAACCAAGUUACCCUAGGGAUAACAGCGCAAUCCUCUUCAAGAGUCCAUAUCGACAAGGGGGUUUACGACCUCGAUGUUGGAUCAGGACAUCCUAAUGGUGCAGCCGCUAUUAAGGGUUCGUUUGUUCAACGAUUAAAGUCCUACGUGAUCUGAG